AUGGAGCCAAUAGAGGAACCCAGUGGUAAAUUAUUCCCCCAUUUCAUGAUACCUGAGACGACAGCUGGGAUCACAUCCUCCUGCAUAGGGCGUGAAAGUGUUCGAGUGAUUGCUUGCUUGCUUUGUGAUGACGGGGUGCUAGAAAAGCAGGAGAUUGUGGCGCAAAGCAACUUCAACAUCCUGAGGAGCUUGGCGUCAGGCGAGAAUGAUGAUGACGAUGAGGAGGACGCCACCUUGUUGUCCCUGCUACACCAGCAGCUUGUCAUCCGAGAGCUCUUCCUCAACGCGCGUGGCCUUGGGCAUGUUGGUAUUUGUUGCAAUCUAAAAUAAAUCCACAAGC
RNAcentral lists this long non-coding RNA (340 nucleotides) under Oryza sativa Indica Group (long-grained rice). RNAcentral's name for it is "lncRNA OsMH63_12G011800". The record is from RNAcentral. Lineage: Eukaryota; Viridiplantae; Streptophyta; Magnoliopsida; Poales; Poaceae.